This is a long non-coding RNA of Eriocheir sinensis (Chinese mitten crab), 1389 nucleotides long. RefSeq lists it as uncharacterized. The transcript has 3 exons. The record is from RefSeq and is a predicted model, not a curated record. Lineage: Eukaryota; Metazoa; Arthropoda; Malacostraca; Decapoda; Varunidae.
AGCCAUCGCCUGGAGGGCAUCCAGUGUCUGUUAUCACUCACCUUAGGUAGUCUGUGAAGGUUCAGUCAUCACUGGUGCACGUGUAUCUUACCUGUGAUCAACACCGGCAGCCACAGACUCCUGCCCAAGGAACGAACACAGUGAUCGUGAUGACAUUGACAACAACGAGCAAGUCCUCCUAGACCUAGAGUGACCUCAAGCUGGGCCAAACAUGAUGUGGAAGAAGAAAUCAGUUGUCUCCAUCAGUCGGGUUUGUGCCAUGGCAGCUUUCUCCAGCUGUCCGGCAGAGGUCCAGUCCAUGCCAUGGAGAAAUUCAGCCCCCAACAAUGAGAUGGCAUGCCAGAGAUGGAUCCGCAGCUUCUCCUCCAAUCAGUCAAUCCUUGCAAUGCCCUUUCUCUUUUCUCUUCUUCUGUACCACCAUGCUUACACAUAACUGAUCCAAGGUACCACCACAGUUGCUGCAGCGGUAGCAGCGAUUGUUGUCGCUGGUUCUGCUGUUUGGGUUGUUAUUGUUGCAACUAUAGACAGAGGAAGCAGGUCAGCGACUCAACGUGACUGCCCAGUGGCCUGCCUUAAAUCUUGUAUAUUGUUUUUUGUUGUUGUUUUUUUGGUACUUAAACUCGUUAACCUCCUCCAUUUCUUCACCAUUCAAAAUUAUUUGGCAUUCUUUUUCACAUUCAAUGCCCACUCUAUAUGGGCAUACAAACUCUACAACCUCCCUUCUACUCCGCUCACAAACCAUCACUUUACUUUUGUUGACAUUUACUUUCAACUUUCUCCUUUUACAUACACUAUCAAAAACACUGACCAAAUUUUGUAAGUCACUUUCAUUUUCUGCAUUGAGCACCGUGUCAUCAGCAAAUAAGAUUGAAUUCAUCACCCACUUCCCUCCCUCCCUCAGCAUACAUUUUUACUUCAAUUUCCCCAACUUUGCCCUUCAUUUCUCAUAACACCAUCCAUAUAAAUAUUGAACAACCAUGAUGACAUGACACACCCCUUCUUUAGCCCACUUUCAUCUUAAAAUGUUCACUUGUUUCUCCAGUAAUUUUGACACAUGCAGAUGCAUCCUCAUAGAAAGACUUUAUUGCAUAAAGCAGUUUUCCUCCCACACCAUAUAUCUUUAAGACGUCCCACAAUGCCAGCCAAUCGACUCUGUCAUGAACUUUCUUUAGAAUAACUAGAUCCAUGAAGGCAGCAUAGUAUUUUUUCCUUUUGCUAAUAUUUUUUCUAAUAAAACACCAUCCUGAAGGAAAAUAUCUGAUCCACACAUCCUCUUCCCUUCCUGAAGUCUCCUUGUUCUUCACUGAUUUUCUCUUCUGUAAGUCUUUGCGCAGUCUCAAUUAGGACUUUUCCAUAUACCUUUCCAGGUAGCCUACACUCAGCAGACUU